UGGGUGGAGUUUCAAGGAGGCAGCAGGACGCAGGGCCGGCGUCCGCUGCAGGCACAGGUGUCGCGGGCGGGAGAAGGGCUGCCGGUGCCUCGGGCCUACCGGGGAGAAGCGGGCUUCCAGUGCGUGAACUCGGCGAGGACAGGGUGAAUCACGGGCCCCCGGAGCCAGCCGCGGGCUGUGUGCCCAUAAACCAGAUUCUCCGCCCUCGCUCUGCAGGGCGAUUCGCGUCCCGGUGACCGACUUGCGCUAACGUUUCUCAGCGGCAGCCUUAGGACCGCCCCCCCCCCCCGGGCGACAGGCUGCAGCUCUCCGGGCCACGGCAGGGAGGAGGGCCCUCGGCCACGGAAGAGGUGUGCUAACUGGGAAGAAGGCCGUGACGUUGGAGCGUCACGGGCACUAAAAAGUUUCUAGGACUCCGAGCUCGAGCGUCGCGGGGCGGCCCGCGCUGUGUCUUAAAACCCGACGGACACCCCGCGCGUGGUGCGGGUGCCUGCGGACCCCGGGGAGCGGCGGGCAGCUCUGCCCUCCGCGGGCCUCCGGCUCCGGCUGCACCCGCCUCACCUCGGAGCGCCGGGAAUGAGAAGAACAAAGUACAACAGUAAUCUCAAGAAGAAUUCACAACGUUUCGAAAGCAACAGGACAAAGUUACUGUCCUGAAAGUCAUCCGAACAAGACAGACGAGCUGAUCCUUCGCUGCCCGGCGUUGCCAGAAUCCGAACAGGAACAGCGUUAUCCUUAAGCACGUUACAUUUCCUUCUGGCUUGUGGUGCUGGGAAUACCGAAGGAAGAGACGUAGUCCCUUCCCUUAAGGAAACUCAAGAAGUCAAACACGAGACUCCAUCCGGCUCCUAGAUAAAUGCCUGAGGGAACUGAAUGCACGUCCAGGCAAAGGCUGGUGACCUUCUUCACGGCAGCCCCAGUCGGAAGCGCCCAAAUGUCCACCGCCUGUAGACUACAUGACUAAAAUGUGGUAUAUCCACACACUGGAAUAUUACCCGCCCAUUGAAGGAACCAGGUACCCAUCUGACCCCAAAGAACAGUAAGUACAGGGUCUGUCACCGAAGGACAAGGCUCCAAGGCCCGGGCAGAAUUUCCUCUCUCCCCUGCCUUUCUCAGGCUCACCCGCGUCGUUGAAGAUAACUGUCCUCACCCCAGCCAGCAGGGGCUGCCCUCACCUCCUUGGGGUCUCUCCCCAGGAGCACCUGUCCGGGCUUGAGUCACUGGGGACUAUAGCCUGGCCCGUGGUGCAUCCGAAAGCCAUCCAGAGCCCCUCGUGUUUUCUUCUUUUAUUGUAGUUGUGCUUCCCACUCCUGGAACUCUGAUGGAUGCUCGCGGAUGCUCCCGGUUGGGGGAUUUAGUAUGGAGCCAAGUCGGUGGUUCCUCUGAUUUGGAGACAGACGUUCCGGCUGGCUGUUUCCCAUUUCUUGUGAGACUGAAACGAACAGGAGAAUGAAAGAAAUCGUUAUUGGCACUUGACAAGAGACAGGAGGUCGUGAGGACAGAAGAGACGUGGAGGGGAUCUAGGGGAGGCAGCCUGAGAGGCGUCCCAUUACGCCAACCAGUCUGCGGGUAAAAUUUGCUCACGGGCUAACAUGCCCCUUGCGAUGGUUAAUUUUGCGUGUCAACUUGACUGGGCCAUGGAGCCCAGACAAGUGAGCAGCCGUUAUUCUGGAUGUUUCCUCGAGGGUGUUUUGGGAUGAGGUUAAUCCUUAAAUCCAUGGGCUUUGAGAUUACUUUCAUAGUGUGGGUAGGUGGGCCUCAUCCAAUCAGUUGAUGGACACCUGACUGCCUCCAAAGAAGGCAUUUUGCAGCAGAACGGCUUUUGGACUUGAGCCAAAACAUCAGCUGUCCCCUGGGACUCCACCCUGGUGGUCCACUCUAGCUUGUGGACUUGCCAGCCUCCACAAUUACGGGAGCCAAUUCCUUAAAAUAAAUCUCUUUCUAUAUAUA
This is a long non-coding RNA of Leopardus geoffroyi (Geoffroy's cat), 1950 nucleotides long. RefSeq lists it as uncharacterized. The record is from RefSeq and is a predicted model, not a curated record. The transcript has 4 exons. NCBI's taxonomy places the organism in Eukaryota, Metazoa, Chordata, Mammalia, Carnivora, Felidae.